This is a long non-coding RNA of Lepus europaeus (European hare), 326 nucleotides long. RefSeq lists it as uncharacterized. Lineage: Eukaryota; Metazoa; Chordata; Mammalia; Lagomorpha; Leporidae. The transcript has 3 exons. The record is from RefSeq and is a predicted model, not a curated record.
AAACCUUUCUCCAGACACUGCAGACACUCAGCAUGGACUCCCCACUGAAGAGGAGCUUUUGGGGUGACGGUCGCUGACUGAAGAAACAUGCCUGGCAUGGAAGUGUUUGGGGGAAAUUUAUCUAAGGGUCAAACUUCAAACUCUGAGUUGGGAAAAGGAAAAGCAAUGGGACCCUGCCAGGCACAACAUCAGAUUUCACAGUCUCAACCUGCCUGGUUCUGUGAGUUGUCAGCCGUGAGCCACCCAUCCUAGUGAAGGUCUGGAUUACUCAAGAGUCUGCUCAAUGGCCUCACACUCAGCAGAUCCUUGCUGAGGCUCUCAUACAA